UACGUAGGGUGCAAGCGUUAAUCGGAAUUACUGGGCGUAAAGCGUGCGCAGGCGGCUUUGCAAGACAGAUGUGAAAUCCCCGGGCUAAACCUGGGAACUGCAUUUGUGACUGCAUGGCUGGAGUGCGGCAGAGGGGGAUGGAAUUCCGCGUGUAGCAGUGAAAUGCGUAGAUAUGCGGAGGAACACCGAUGGCGAAGGCAGUCCCCUGGGCCUGCACUGACGCUCAUGCACGAAAGCGUGGGGAGCAAACAGG
This 253-nucleotide ribosomal RNA is filed under the name uncultured bacterium. RNAcentral's name for it is "partial 16S ribosomal RNA". It matches the Rfam family "Bacterial small subunit ribosomal RNA", at positions 524 to 776 of the family's 1533-position model. The record is from RNAcentral.